CAAAAUGUAGCUUAAUUUAAAGCACCUUGCUUACACCAAGAAAAUAUCUACUGAACCCAGAUCAUUUUGA
Molecule: transfer RNA, 70 nt
Filed under: Ololygon sp. KAV17
Lineage: Eukaryota; Metazoa; Chordata; Amphibia; Anura; Hylidae
Description: tRNA-Val
Source: RNAcentral